CAUUUAAAGAAAAAGGCAAUGAAAUGCUGCUGAAAUGACAUUUUUGACAAAGUGCCAUUUUUCAGCAUGACCUCUUGGACCCACUUACACCAGUGCUGCUAACUAGUUCUGCAUUCAUCAAAGCCUGCAGGAGCAGGGGGCAGAGCAGUGUGUGCUGAUGAGCACAAGUGCCUUGGAUUUUCAGCACAUGCCUUGGAUUUUGUUCCACCAGCAACUUCCUGGUCUAAGUCCCAGAGCAGUUUUUGCUGGAGAUGUUCAGGCUGGGCUAUUGGUGUCUGUGACAUCAAGGCCACAGAAGAAAAAGAGGUGGCUCAAAGACUCUUCUUGGUCAUUAAGAACCUUCUCUUGUGGAUGUGAUUAACUCCUGGGGUUGCUGGUUCCUGACAGGCUUGUGCCCAUACAGCUCUGGAAGGGAACAUGGCUUGCAGAAGACAGUGAGCUUUCCAUCUCCAAGGUGUUGGUCCCAGUGGACAACCUCAGAUUGCUGUGGGCUGUUAUUACCUACCCAGAAAUAGCUGCUGUGUUCCACCUUGGAGGAGACUGCAUGCCACAGAAGUGCCAGGAACCCAACCCGCCCAACUUUAUUGCUGCAACCAGAUCCUGGCUCGAGGGAUGUUACGGCAACCAGCCUGGGCCGUGGGGGCCAGAAGAACAAAUACCUCCCUAACAGGCAUGACUUCAGCCAGCACAUGCCCCACUGCCCGGAUAGCUCCUCUGACAGAGGAAGCCCCUGUGAGGAUUUACAAGUCCCAACCACUUCCUGAAAUCACCACUCCUGCUUGUUAUCUCACCCUCCCAUCACCUGCAGGGUCCGGAUACUGUUUGAAGGGAAAGGAGAGCCCUGAGAAGGAAGAGGAGGAGGUGUGUGAGUCCUGCUGAUCUGCCCAUUAGGCUGGGGGGUGGCAAUGGACCCCAACGAUGAAAUAUCUGAGCACUCUGGCUCAGUCUUUUUAUUACCUGCAAUGGAAAAUGAGUGCCAGCUGCAAAUCAGGGAUUUCAACAGCCUCUCUGAAGGCAUGUCAAGCAUUUUAUGGCUGGAAAUACAUUUAGGGUUUAUUAUGGGCUGCCCACUGAUCUUUCCUGCAUGCAUGGAGUGGCUGGACCCUGUUCCCACCCUGCCUUUGGAUGGGAAGGGGUCCCCACAAAUUGAUCGGUUUUCGGAUGGCAAAUUGAUUGGUUCCAUUUGCUGCUUCUCUACUUUCUUUAUCCUGAGCAAGGAUUUAACCUCACAUUGAGACAGGCUGGAAGUUGAUUUGGAGGACAGCCUCAGCCUGCAGUGGGAUGCAGCAUAUGUUGCAGACCUGUCAAAUGUCACACAGAGCAGCACUUGCCCCAUGGGUCCCUCCACAGAAGAAACAGGCUCUCCCCUUCCCAGCACUGUGCCAUCACUUCCUCAAACUUCAGCACUCAACAUUUGUAAACUCCACACCUUCAUGGAGGAGCACCCCAAUCAUCCAGUCCCAUGCUGUGUUCUUGGAAAAGUGAGCCAACUAAUGGGAACUGGACCACUUGGAAGUGGGAAACUGGCAAGAUAGGAUGUAGCAACACAGCUUUGCAAACUCUACAGGAGCUCUACAGGAGCCAUGGCACAGCCUGAGCUGUUGGAGAAACCAUCUCUUGGCUUCACUUCUAGACAUGCUGCAGACAUGCCUUCAUUGCACCGUGCACACCUCAACCAUCCAAAUCCCUCUGUUAGACCAAGUGCUUUAUAGCUGCUUUCAAUUUCUUAUUGACUGGACUCUGCUCUUCUCGUUACACAAAUAUCACAUUUUGAAACUUCCUCUACCAAAAACAUGAACAGGAAUUUCCCUAUAGUGUCCUGGUUUUAAGAAUUUGGAUCUUGAAGGCCUGCAGAGUCAUCACCACUGGUGAUAAAACAGGAGAGGAGGGAUAAAAAAGGGAUGCAUGUGGGGGAAGGACAAAGAACAUGGGAAGGAAACAGGGAGGGACUCUGGAGUAAAUCUGAGGAGCUGUGGGCAAGGUCAAGCUCUGCUAUCUUGUCCCCUCUGAGAGAACAGGGUUGCAAGGUCUCCAGCAGAAGAACCACAGUCCAAAAGAAAGCUGGGAAACAUGGGGCUGUAAAUCAGCUCCUGCCCAGUGCUGUGACAGCUCUUUUGGCCUGAGCCAUGGCUGACAUCUUGCCCGAAGCCAUGGCAACCAUUCUGGCCUGUGCCAUGGCUGUCACCUUGGCUAACCCACCCCAACUGGCCACUGAGUCUACAAACACACCCCCUUACCAUUCCGUGUCUGAAUUCACUGUAGGAAUGGGGAGUCCUUCAUUAAACUCACGGUGUCCAUGGCCUUGUCAAUAAGGAAGGGCCGCAGCACCCCUUGGUGCCUUGGCUCUGGGUGCUGCUUUCUCAGCAGCCAUUCUCUCUGGACAUGAGGAGCAACACUGCGGGGUCCAGCCGGGGAUCCCAGUGAGGAUGCCCAUCCCCUUGUUUACUCCUGCUACCAUCUGCUGGAAGGAAUCAGCCUGUGCACUUGCCUGCCGCAUGGAAACUGUUGGGAGCCAUACCGGGAGAGCACAAGGACGAGAGCAGCACUGGGGUGAGUCUGCUCAUGGACACAACACGGAUGAGGGUCCUGCUGGGGGGAAUCUCUCUGCUCUCUGCCUUCCCACCCUGUGUUCAGAGGGACCAGGACACCCAUGUAUCUCUCCUAGGGCUGUUUAAAGACAGGAAUUUUGGAGGCUUCCUUGGCUCUGCUCCAGAGCCUGGCACAAGGCAUUGGUUUGGUCUGAACCUCAGUUUCCCUGUUGCUACUUAAAACACUAACCUUUGGUGUGGCUCAGCCCCCACCAUUUGACUUACUGUGAGUGUAAACAUUGUCCCUUCCUAGAUAGGGGCCAUCACUUUCACCAUGUUCCCAUCCCUGCUGCUUCCCACCAUUCCCAAAACAAUUCCCAUUGAGCAGCGCUGCCCUGCCAUAGAAACACAACCACACCUUGAAUGAGGCAUGAGGGCUGCUCAUCUGUGACCAUCUGGGGAAAAAAAACAGUGCUGAAAGCCAAAAUAUCUGCUCAACACACUCUCCUGUGCAAGCUGGGCCUGGGACCAAAGACAGUCAGUACCAGGCUGGAAGCUUCUGUAUUUUUGUUAUGGGUUGUUGAACAAACCACACAGUUUUACCCCACAGGGUAUCAUAAAUAAGCAAUGAAAAAGCAGAGAAGUGAAAAGGAAAAGUAUUUGCCUGCAAAAAUAUGUUACUAAGCAAAUGAGUCAGAAGGAUGUGGACUGAACUGUGCAGGGCCUGCUAUGUCUAAAAGCAAAGCUUUUAUAAGGUAGGGAAAGUGAUUUAAGAGUCUGCAGGUAAACAUGGGCUGCCACGUAUUGUUCUGGGGAAAAGUGGCAGAAUAAAUAUGCAAAUCCUUCUUAUGUGACAGCCAGAAUGGUGGAAAUGAUUAUGAAAUAGAUCUGAAGAAGCCUGAUUAAUAAUUUAUCCUCAAAUGGAAGUUGAUUCUUGGCUGAACAGCAAGGAUAAUAAGGCUGAGGAAUCAAUAAGAGCAUUUACAACUCUGUAAAAUGCGUUUACAAGUACAAAAAGAUGGGUUGCUUUGUGGCCAUGCCUUGCAUGAGCUAGGAGAGAGGGAAGGGAGAGCACACAACAGUGACUGUGCAGCGCCGGCCACACAGACAAAUCUGGAGAGGGAGCUGAGCAUUGUCUCUGGAUGUUACUGCUACCUGAAUGAUUCUCCACCAUUAACACAUGUCCUGACAGCCCAUGGAGGACACAUUAAUUAAGCUCAGUCACUUAAGAAGGUUUGCAUAAUUAAUGCAGUGUUGACAGAGCAGUUCAGUGGUAUCUUCAGCCAGAAUGUGGCUGUCCUCAGGGAUGCAGUGUGGAAGUGACUGCCCGGACACCAUGCCCUUGGGUGGCCUGUGCACAUCUGGCCUAGCUAAUCCCCCUCUUCACCACACCUUAUCACAGCACACAUUGGUAGGCAACUCACCCUCUCAGAGAAACAAGUGAUCAUCAGCAGCCUCCUUUGAUGUAAACUCUUAAAACUUUGUGCCUCAGAUUUCUAAAAAUAUCCUUGUUGAGAUCCACUGGGCAACUGGAGGUUCAUUGCUUGCCCACCCCACCUUCCUUGGGCAGUUGAGGAAUGGGUGCCUUAAGAGCAGCCCAGCUCUGUGAUGUGACAAAACUGGAGGCAUUUUUACAUGGCCUGAUUCAGAGCUGUGAGCAGGCACCUCUGCCUUGAGGCAGAUGAGAAGGAUGGGGUCUCUCAGCUUGGCUUGAGACUCUGUCACCCUGGAAGGGACAUGAACCCAUGACAUGUAAUUGUCACAGACAUCUCCCAGUCUGUGGUCCAUGGGUUCUCAAAAUGUCCCUGAAAAAUGAGAAAGAAAAGCCAGUGGGGCUGCGAAUGACCAAAAUCCACACUGCCCCUGGCAAGUUUUUCUUUGUGCUGUCUUCUGUAAUGAGAGCAGUGACAUUUUGGGGUAGCAGAGGGAGGUGGGAAGGCAGCUCCCACUGGGGAUGUGCCUGAUACUGAGACCCUCCCCGCCUUGGGCAGAGAGUACAGAUAAUGGAUUUGCACAGAUUUCCUCUUAGUGCUGCUCCUCCCCGAGGGCCUUUGGCAGAGCGUCUCCAGCGCCCGGCUGGCACGGUCUGUCCCAGCCGAAUGUUCCACAGCACAACACCAAGGGAGAAAUGUAGGGACCCUGACAGACAGCCUUGCAAGACAGCUCUCCCCAAACCCUCCCAACAGAUGGGUGUCCAACCUGCUGGUAAACACUGCCAGUGAAAGAGGCUCCAUCCCUUCCUGACAGCUUGUUCCAGGGUUUGUGAGUGUUCAGAGCUGGAGGAGUUUCCUAACGUCAGACCUAAAUCAUGCUUGCUGAAAAUGGAGUCUUGCCCUCCUUAUCUUGUCCCCAUGCUGAAUAUGAGAACAAUUCAUCCUUAUCCAUGCAUAAAAACCUCAUAUACAGAAAUACAUUUUACUUGCUGCCUUCUGGACCUUUUGUUUUCCAGACAAAACAAGCCCAGUUCCUUCAGUUUUCCUUCCAAGGGCAUCAGCAGGACCUCAUGGAAAUGGAGAAGAACUGCAAGGAUGAUCUGAGGAUUGAUACUGCCAAGUGUGAGCUGAGACCCUUCAGCUGGUGAAAGACUAGAGGAAGGACAGCUGAUAGAGAUGAAUGUUAUUGAACAGGUAAAUAAGGAAUGACUGUCCACUGUUUCUUUCAAUGUAAGAACCAAGGCUGUCAAGUGAAAGCAGCAGGAGAACAAAUAGAAAGAUAAACUGUGCUGUGUGCAGCUAACCUGAGAGACUCCUUGCCUUGGGAUACAUGGAGAUUACCUGUUUAAGAAGUUAAAAAAGGAACUAAAAAAAAUUAUUGGCUAGAAAUCCACAACAGCUGCUAUUAAACAAAAAGCCACAAUGUUUGACUGAGGAAGAUCCCCACUGAAGACUGGGAAACUACUCUGAAGAAACCUCAUAGCACAUGGACCCCCUCCUUACACAUUAGGUCUCCUCUCAGACAUGGUGCAGGAUUGCAUGGACCUUAGAUUUGACCUGAUCAGUUUUUUCCUGUUCUGGUUCACACCAUGCCUUUGUAGAGCAUCCCAGAACACUGGAUAUUUUAGUGAACAACAGGCUUUGCUAAAAAAUGAGUUCAGCAUCAGCUGUCAGAAUGACACCUUGGCUGUCUCAGUCAUCUAGAGUCUCUCAAUAGCUAAAGAGAGGAGACCUGAGGAACAUGAAGAAAGAGGGAAAAAAAAGGCAUCAGUGAGUCUUGCAGAAACCCACAUGAGAACAGAUCAAACUAUUUAGAUCCUGUUUAGGAGUUUGUCCUGUAGCAUGAAACACUGUGAUCCUGAGAACAGUGCCCAGCUAAAAGUGCCUGCUGGGACACUGAGGUGGGGGAUGCUGACCUGCCUUGCAGCCUUGUGUAGCCACAGCUUCCUUUAAGUCUCUGCCCCUGGACUCCAGGCAGUUUACAGUAAGAUCUCACACAUCCCGUCCCAGCCAGGUGUGAGAUCAAUUUACUGUCUGGAGCAAAGGUUAAGCGUCCUGAAGGGUGAGGCCCAAUGCAGAGCAGUGUCUUGGCCCAUCUAGGCUGAAGCUGUCGGCAGCCAUGGCUUUUGUGUCUGUAAUUUAAGCCUUAACAAACAGAAAGACCAAACUUUGUGAGAGAACUGUCAUCUUAUUUCACUUCUACCAAGUUUGGGACUGGAGUACUAAAGAGUACGGGAUCUCUCUUGAUAUUAAAGUCCUUUUGGCACGGGUUGAAAGAUAACUUUUGCAGGUAGAGGACAUUCAAGGCUUUAGAGGCCCCUGGUUUGUAAAUGGUUUACUUCUACAGCAGCUCCUUCCAGGGAACAAUGCAGACUAAUCUAUCACACAGCUCAGAUGGUGUGAGCAGCAGCUGGUCAGGCCCAGAGAAGGGCAGCUGAGGAGAACAUGAGUUUUUGCUCUGCCCUCACACCCAGCAUGUGCCUGAUGGUCUCUCUGUUUCCUUCCGUAAUAAAGAUCAUGGAUGACUUUGUCCAGUGCUGAGACAUGGCACAGGCUAUCUCCUGGUCUUCCAUCUACACAUCUUUCCACCUCCAGGGUGCUCAAAAACAUUGAAGAUGGUAUUUCCUGUGGGAGACACUGUGUAGCUGCUCUUAGAGAGGCUGAUGGCAUUAGUAGGAAGGAGAGGGCAAUCACUUAGAUUAAUGAGGCCCCAACACAUGGACUGAGAGGAAGGGUGGGCACAUUCGUGGGUUUUCAACACUAUAUUUAUUUUUAUAAUCCUCCUGUUUCCCACCUCCCCCUCCAUGGUGUCUUGGAAGUCAAGACUGACACCUGCCAGGAUAUGAGAAGUCCAGACAAAAUCAGAAUGAUCCUCUCCAAAGCUGGAGUGGAAGGGAACUUUUUUCAGCCCCCACAGAGAUCAAAGAGCCAGCUGGGUCUGGGGUUGCAGGGCUGGGCAAUUCCCAGGUGCAGGAGACUGGCAAGGUGUCAGUCAUGUCCCCCUGCACAUGCUCCUGCAGACGCUCAGCAUAUGACUGAGGGGCAGCUGGUGGCAGCUAAGCCUUGGCCCGCACACCCCCUUCCUUGAGAAGCAUGACGGAAGGGAUUAAGUGGCUUGUAAGGUGACACGGGGUUGAUCAGCUCUCAGUGGCGUGGUGGGAGGGAAGAUGCUGAAGUGGCUUUCCACCUCUGCUCCCAGUCUUCUCUCCAGUCUCUACCCAAGCCCAGAAGUCUGUUGUCCUGCUGGAGGAACAGCAGCUCCUAUUCCUGUCACCCACUUUCAGCCCUUACCUCUAUGCCCUUUUCUCUCUAGGGGUGGAGGAUUUGUCCCUCCAAUCUCUUCUUUAUGUCCUAAGCAGUGACAUUCCCAGGGGAGUGUCUCCAGGAGCUGGAGGGGCAGAGGAUGAAAGAGAGCAAGUAGAUGCUGUUCAAGCACAGAUGUGAUGACUAGAUGGGAUGGACUCUGCAAAUCUCUCUCUCCUCCUUGUCCUUGCAGACCUGUGGCAAGGCUUCAGCACUGCUCAGAAGAUGAGGAUGAUUUGCAGCACAAAACUGCUCCUGCAUUCAUCCAUGUGUCUGCUCCACCACAGGGACACAGGAGCCAGGCAUAUCCAACCAGCUCAGCUCCCACAGGCAGAUAAACCAACACACACCCCAGCACAGGGAGCUUCCCAGGGGCUUGAGGAUAGAUGUUGCCCAGGCAUUAGGGAGGAAAAUCUCUGAAUGUAGCCCUGUGCUGAAAGUGUGAGGUUCUCUUAUUUUGAUCACCUCUUACUCACCAUAUGUCAGUUCUACCAUGGUGAUUUUUCCCGCAAAAGGCACAUAGAAACAUUGUGGGACCCUAUCACCAUCAUCAGACACCAAAGAAAGAGUCUGCUGCAUGAAGAGCUCUUUCUCCAAGCAGAGGUGGCUCCAGCAUCUCCCUGCCAUCCCCUUGCUCUGCUCUCACCUUCUUCCUGCCCUCAGGCAGCCCCUGGGCAGGCAUUUCUGGAUGACUCAUGUGCUCCACGCUGGACCAGCUCUUGUAAUCCCCACUGCCACUGCCAGACAAUAGGAUGCCAGCACACGGGUCCUGCUGGCAGGGUCCUAGCAGCCACAGGGAGCAGGAUCAGCAGCUCCCGUGGUAUUCCUGUAUUGCCAACGUGCUGUCAGCUUCGUUAUUCCUCUGCAGCCUUCCCACCCUCCAGUGACACCCAGACUUUCUGUAACACAGAUUCCUCUCAUAGGGAGGCACCAGAGAGCAGGGAAUAAAUUUAUAAAAUUAGUUCAUGUGGUCAGGGCUGAAGCUGAACAGAUUUUUUCCAUCUGAUUAGUUCAUAUCCCUGCAGCACCUCUGGACCCCACUGAGGUCGGGCACUCUGCACUUAAUCAGUGGAUCUUCGGCAGAACUGCUGAGUUUCACAGGAAGAAGAAACACUUUUGAUUGUCCAGUCUUCUCUGCUGUCUCAGGGGUAGUUGCUGAGCUUUCCUUUCCUGUGGCAGGUGAUGUCAGAUCAGGUGUUGGAGCACAGACCGAGGCACGAGGAUACUGCUGGCAUGAAGAUUAUCUCUCAUGGUCCUACUGAGCUUUGUUUCCCUGCUGUAUCCCUCCAGUCUCCUUCCUGGUCCAUGUAUGUCAGGCAUGGCUGUGUCAGUAGUAGGGGUCAAAAAGCAGGGGAGAUACUUGGUGCUGUGCACAAGUGAUACCCAGACUGGCUGCAGGGCAGGAGACAAGGCUGUACACUUAAUCCUCGAAGCAUGACAGCAUGGCACUGCCCUGUAAGAGGGAUUCCCCUUCGUUGUGAGAGUGCUGGUGACAGCUCAAUCCAAGGGAGGUGAAAAGGCUCAUGACUGGCAUCGGCUGUGGAAAAAACCCCAUUCUUAAGUGGCAUCUCUUGUGGAAAACAUUGCAUCUCUAGAGUGGAAAAAAUCCAGGCCAGUUCCUCCGGAGAACAAAUCUCAGAGAGUACGGCUCUGUCUAAAUAUAAAUCUCUCUCCAUGAAGGUCCCACAGCAGUCUCAACGCUGUCCUGAGGCGAUGGAAGAGCCAGAGGCAGAGGGUGCAAUGCAGACCUGGCAACAUUAGAGGGAGCUUUGGGAAGGGGUCUGGGAAGAGUAGGAAACAAUAACUAGAUGUAAAUUACAUUUUGUGAGUUCGUUUAAAUAAGGGAUCCAGUUUAAUCCCAUCGAGUGUUUGCUUAGUGUACAGCUGAAAAUUAGCAUCAACAAUUUUAUGCACACUAAUAAAUUCAAGCCAUUACUCUC
Long non-coding RNA from Passer domesticus (house sparrow), 9204 nucleotides. RefSeq lists it as uncharacterized. The record is from RefSeq and is a predicted model, not a curated record. The transcript is spliced from 4 exons. NCBI's taxonomy places the organism in Eukaryota, Metazoa, Chordata, Aves, Passeriformes, Passeridae.